Molecule: ribosomal RNA, 200 nt
Filed under: uncultured bacterium
Lineage: Bacteria
Description: partial 16S ribosomal RNA
Rfam family: Bacterial small subunit ribosomal RNA
Source: RNAcentral
UACGGAGGGGGCUAGCGUUGUUCGGAUUUACUGGGCGUAAAGCGCACGUAGGCGGCAUAUUAAGUUAGAGGUGAAAGGCCUGGGCUCAACCUAGGAACGGCCUUUAAUACUGGUAUGCUUGAGUUCGGAAGAGGGUAGUGGAAUUCCAAGUGUAGAGGUGAAAUUCGUAGAUAUUUGGAAGAACACCGGUGGCGAAGGCG